Molecule: transfer RNA, 70 nt
Filed under: Camelus bactrianus (Bactrian camel)
Lineage: Eukaryota; Metazoa; Chordata; Mammalia; Artiodactyla; Camelidae
Also listed under: 1 other name
Rfam family: tRNA
About the family: Transfer RNA (tRNA) molecules are approximately 80 nucleotides in length. Their secondary structure includes four short double-helical elements and three loops (D, anti-codon, and T loops).
Source: Rfam by way of RNAcentral
GGAGAUAGCUUAGUGGUAGAGUGCCUGCCUAGCAUGGAGAAGGUCCUGGGUUCAAUCCCUAGUAUCUCCA